Carassius gibelio (silver crucian carp) is the source of this 699-nucleotide long non-coding RNA. RefSeq lists it as uncharacterized. The record is from RefSeq and is a predicted model, not a curated record. Lineage: Eukaryota; Metazoa; Chordata; Actinopteri; Cypriniformes; Cyprinidae. The transcript is spliced from 3 exons.
CAUUCUCACUCCAAAGGCGUCAAAAACUGAAGCAUGGUCAAGCGCCCCUAGCGUCACUUUUAUGACGCCAAAUGUGCCUCUCGGCGUCGAAUAUCGAAGCACUACGACCUUCAUUGCUUUCAAUGGGAAACUUUUGGCGUCAGAAUUCGACACGAGGACAUGAGAUGUUUAUCGCUAUGAAAUCACGUUCAAGAAGUCUCAUUCAGCACACAUCGCGAUACUUGCUAUCAGUUCCACAGUUUGGCUGAAAAGACGUAAAGGCAGUCAGCCCAGUGGUGUUUCUGGAGAGGGAUUCCUUCAGAAAUGGAGAAGACAGAAAGCUGCGGAGGCAGAUAUUUGCAGCAGAUUGUUUGAGGAUAACGCUGUAAUUCUCCAUCAUGCACAAGGACUCACCUCGUUAACUCUUUGUCACCCACACACACAGAUAUGGUCCCUGGAUCAGUGAUUAGACUUUGCAGUGGUUUGAUUUUUGCAGAAGAUGUAACUUUGUUUUAAUUAUAAGCUCAUAAUGAAUACAUUACAGAACCAGUGAUGAAAACAAUAGUUAAAAAUAGCGCUCCAUUUUAAAAAUAUAUUGCACACUUGACAUGCAUGUCUUCAUGGUGUUUUUUUGUGAGUUUGAAACAUUUACAUUGUGUUGUAUAACAUUUUGGUCACAACACUUUUUCCAGUGUUCUCUGAAAGACAUACUGUAUUUAC